AACGAACGCUGGCGGCAUGCCUAACACAUGCAAGUCGAACGAGACCUUCGGGUCUAGUGGCGCACGGGUGCGUAACGCGUGGGAACCUGCCCUUAGGUUCGGAAUAACUCCCCGAAAGGGGUGCUAAUACCGGAUAAUGUCUUCGGACCAAAGAUUUAUCGCCUUUGGAUGGGCCCGCGUUGGAUUAGCUAGUUGGUAGGGUAAAAGCCUACCAAGGCGACGUUCCAUAGCUGGUCUGGGAAGAUGAUCAGCCACACUGGGACUGAGACACGGCCCAGACUCCUACGGGAGGCAGCAGUGGGGAAUAUUGGACAAUGGGCGAAAGCCUGAUCCAGCAAUGCCGCGUGAGUGAUGAAGGCCUUAGGGUUGUAAAGCUCUUUUACCCGGGAUGAUAAUGACAGUACCGGGAGAAUAAGCUCCGGCUAACUCCGUG
RNAcentral lists this ribosomal RNA (433 nucleotides) under uncultured bacterium. Its description in RNAcentral is "partial 16S ribosomal RNA". It matches the Rfam family "Bacterial small subunit ribosomal RNA", at positions 29 to 507 of the family's 1533-position model. The record is from RNAcentral.